UUUUUCAUACAUACUUGCCUUAUAGCCUGAUCUCGUCAGAUCUCGGAAGCUAAGCAAGGUCAGGCCUGGUUAGUACUCGGAAGGCAGACCGCAGGGAAUUCCAGAUGCCAUAG
Molecule: ribosomal RNA, 113 nt
Filed under: Periophthalmus magnuspinnatus
Lineage: Eukaryota; Metazoa; Chordata; Actinopteri; Gobiiformes; Gobiidae
Source: RNAcentral